AAUCAAAGUAAAAAUUUCCAUUAAUUUGUUCAUUCAAUUAAAUGAACAAUCACCCUCUAGAAUAGACAACUCAAAUUUGAAUCUUAAAUUAAAAAAAAAUUGAAACAUACUUUUGCAUACUAUUGCCAGACCACACAUCUUUUACAAAGGGGUGGCGCGACUUCUACAACAAUUUUCCGCCCUUUAUUGAGCAAAAUUUUGUUCCUACACACUAUGUACAUUUACCUAUAAGCAUAAGCUUCAAUCCUUCAUUGUCUUCUGUUUAACUUCUAUAUGCUGACAGUGUAAAAUGUAACACAAUUCUCUAUCUGUCUGAAAAGUAACUACCACCGUUAUUAUCAGCAGGUGUAUCAAAUGUAGUUAGGAUUACCAAUCCAGUCAUUGUAUUCGAUUAAUUGUUCAGAUGCAUCUGUCAAAAUUGUGUUUCGUUGAUAGGAUCUUAUCAUUGGUUGUUGCUGCUGAUGAACAUUUGGAUAUUGAUCCACCAUUGGUUCUCCUUGAGUUAGUAGUGCUGGCUCAUUAACUAGACCAUCAACUUCCUCUAAAGAACUCCAAUUGGUAUAAGCCUCUUUCACCAAAUUCUGGAUAUAUGCCUUUUGUAUCCCAGUUAAGUCAUGAGUAGGGUAAAUUUGCCCAUCAAUAACUGCCCUAACAACUUCACAAAUCGGAGUAAGGAUUAGAACGUAGUUUGAGCCACGGGCCAUGAAUAACUUCGAGCCCAUCUCACAAGUUUUUGCAUGCUUGUAUGUCACUUCCCACAUUUUAUCAGACAUUCCAGUUCCCAGUAUAGUUCUGAUUUGUUGUGUGUCAAUAGUAGCUAACUUCAAGAAAUCUUGUACAGUGUUGAUGCCUUUUGAAGAGAGCUUUUUGCGGAAAGUUCCAUCUUUUCCAAUCUUCUCAAGACGCCACACUUCAUCUCCUAGUGCUGGUGGGUAAUGUUUUUUGUACAAUUCUCCGCGGUGAUCUUUAACCACAAACGAUUCAGUAACGGCUUCUAUAAUUCGAACAGAAGUUUGAUUGUUUCCAAUUUGAACCACUUUUGCGCCAAUUCUGAAUUUCCGGCUCCGAAUCCAGCUCGAAUUGUCAGUAAACUCGAUUUCCCCAACGGGAACGACGCCUUCACGCAUCGUGAAAUUCAGUUCGCCGGUAAGCAAUGGCCUCUUUCCGGUUCUCUCCUUAACCACGCGUUUGUCGAAUUCUUCGCGAGACCAAUUCGUUUCAGUUUCUCCGGACGGGAAAUCUCCGUCGAGUACGACGAGUUCUACUUUGAUAGGGUAAGGUAAAGUCGUCGGAACCAUGCCUUCGCCGCUCGUAUCCACCAGAAGAAUUUGAAGACUCUGACCGUCGCCGGCGACGACUUUGCUGCUGGUAAAUAUUGGUUUAGAGAGCUUUUUGUUGAAAAUGAGACGAAGAUUCGAUGGUUCUAAUGCUUUGAUUCUAAGCGAAGGAGAUCUCGUUAUUGAAAGACAUGAAUAACGCCUUAGUCCCUUCUCCACUUCCUCAACAACCACUCGACGGAGCAUCGGUUCCAAAGCAGAAGACACGUUCUCUAGGAAAUUCGCCUUCAUUGCUUCCUUAAUAACAGAAGCGAAAGAAGGUCUCAUGCGUUUGUAAUUCGGUUGGUUUGGAUCCGGAUUAGAAUUAUCUAAAAACCGUUUAGCUGCUGCCAUUUCUGUAAUGAGGAGUAAAUUUUCA
RNAcentral lists this unclassified non-coding RNA (1695 nucleotides) under Hevea brasiliensis (rubber tree). The record is from RNAcentral. Lineage: Eukaryota; Viridiplantae; Streptophyta; Magnoliopsida; Malpighiales; Euphorbiaceae.